UACGUAGGGGGCGAGCGUUGUCCGGAAUUACUGGGCGUAAAGGGCGCGUAGGUGGCCUGUUAAGUCGAACGUGAAAUCCCCGGGCUCAACCCGGGAACUGCGUCCGAGACUGGCAGGCUCGAAUCCGGGAGAGGGAUGUGGAAUUCCAGGUGUAGCGGUGAAAUGCGUAGAUAUCUGGUGGAACACCGGUGGCGAAGGCGGCAUCCUGGACCGGUAUUGACGCUGAGGCGCGAAAGCCAGGGGAGCAAACGGG
Molecule: ribosomal RNA, 253 nt
Filed under: uncultured bacterium
Lineage: Bacteria
Description: partial 16S ribosomal RNA
Rfam family: Bacterial small subunit ribosomal RNA
Source: RNAcentral